UUCCAUUUCAGAAAGCCGAGGUCAAAAUAAUGAGUCCUGGGGAAUUCAAACUUGUGUUAAGAAAAUGUGUCCCAGUGUGCAAUGGCUGCAAACAGCAGCUUCCUUGGUAGUGUAUGCAGCCUGUUUGUUGUACGGGUUGCUCUAAAGGGCCUUGGAGACAGUC
Small nucleolar RNA from Homo sapiens (human), 163 nucleotides. It matches the Rfam family "Small nucleolar RNA SNORA70". From Rfam's summary of the family: snoRNA U70 seems to be exclusive to mammals and is a member of the H/ACA class of snoRNA which contain H (ANANNA) and ACA box motifs. NCBI's taxonomy places the organism in Eukaryota, Metazoa, Chordata, Mammalia, Primates, Hominidae. The record is from Rfam.